This 736-nucleotide ribosomal RNA is filed under the name uncultured Bacteroidota bacterium. Its description in RNAcentral is "bacterial SSU rRNA". It matches the Rfam family "Bacterial small subunit ribosomal RNA", at positions 592 to 1335 of the family's 1533-position model. The record is from RNAcentral. Lineage: Bacteria; Pseudomonadati; Bacteroidota.
UGGUGAAUCCUGCAGCUUAACUGUAGAACUGCCAUUGAUACUGAUAUUCUUGAAUAUAGUUGAGGUGGGCGGAAUGUGUAAUGUAGCGGUGAAAUGCUUAGAUAUUACACAGAACACCAAUUGCGAAGGCAGCUCACUAAACUAAUAUUGACGCUGAGGCACGAAAGCGUGGGUAGCAAACAGGAUUAGAUACCCUGGUAGUCCACGCUGUAAACUAUGAUCACUCGCUGUUGGCAAUACAUCGUCAGCGGCUGAGCGAAAGCAUUAAGUGAUCCACCUGGGGAGUACGGUCGCAAGAUUGAAACUCAAAGGAAUUGACGGGGGCCCGCACAAGCGGAGGAACAUGUGGUUUAAUUCGAUGAUACGCGAGGAACCUUACCUGGGCUUAAAUGCAGAGCGACGUCCGCCGAAAGGUGGAUUCCUUCGGGCGAUCUGCAAGGUGCUGCAUGGUUGUCGUCAGCUCGUGCCGUGAGGUGUCGGGUUAAGUCCCAUAACGAGCGCAACCCUUAUCGUUAGUUGCCAGCGGGUAAUGCCGGGGACUCUAACGAAACUGCCGGUGUAAACCGUGAGGAAGGUGGGGAUGACGUCAAAUCAGCACGGCCCUUAUGUCCAGGGCUACACACGUGUUACAAUGGUCGGUACAGAGGGCAGCUACCACGCAAGUGGAUGCUAAUCUCGAAAACCGGUCUCAGUUCGGAUUGAAGUCUGCAACUCGACUUCAUGAAGCUGGAUUCGC